This 468-nucleotide ribosomal RNA is filed under the name uncultured bacterium. RNAcentral's name for it is "partial 16S ribosomal RNA". It matches the Rfam family "Bacterial small subunit ribosomal RNA", at positions 28 to 507 of the family's 1533-position model. The record is from RNAcentral.
GACGAACGCUGGCGGCGUGCUUAACACAUGCGAGUCGAACGGAAAGGCCCUGCUUUUGUGGGGUGCUCGAGUGGCGAACGGGUGAGUAACACGUGAGUAACCUGCCCUUGACUUUGGGAUAACUUCAGGAAACUGGGGCUAAUACCGGAUAGGAGCUCCUGCUGCAUGGUGGGGGUUGGAAAGUUUCGGCGGUUGGGGAUGGACUCGCGGCUUAUCAGCUUGUUGGUGGGGUAGUGGCUUACCAAGGCUUUGACGGGUAGCCGGCCUGAGAGGGUGACCGGCCAAAUUGGGACUGAGAUACGGCCCAGACUCCUACGGGAGGCAGCAGUGGGGAAUAUUGCACAAUGGGCGGAAGCCUGAUGCAGCAACGCCGCGUGCGGGAUGACGGCCUUCGGGUUGUAAACCGCUUUCGCCUGUGACGAAGCGUGAGUGACGGUAAUGGGUAAAGAAGCACCGGCUAACUACGUG